Molecule: ribosomal RNA, 1013 nt
Filed under: Fusarium sp. T3-S11.1
Lineage: Eukaryota; Fungi; Ascomycota; Sordariomycetes; Hypocreales; Nectriaceae
Description: SSU rRNA
Rfam family: Eukaryotic small subunit ribosomal RNA
Source: RNAcentral
GAUUAGCCAUGCAUGUCUAAGUAUAAGCAAUUAUACCGCGAAACUGCGAAUGGCUCAUUAUAUAAGUUAUCGUUUAUUUGAUAGUACCUUACUACUUGGAUAACCGUGGUAAUUCUAGAGCUAAUACAUGCUAAAAAUCCCGACUUCGGAAGGGAUGUAUUUAUUAGAUUAAAAACCAAUGCCCUUCGGGGCUCACUGGUGAUUCAUGAUAACUCCUCGAAUCGCAUGGCCUUGUGCCGGCGAUGGUUCAUUCAAAUUUCUUCCCUAUCAACUUUCGAUGUUUGGGUAUUGGCCAAACAUGGUUGCAACGGGUAACGGAGGGUUAGGGCUCGACCCCGGAGAAGGAGCCUGAGAAACGGCUACUACAUCCAAGGAAGGCAGCAGGCGCGCAAAUUACCCAAUCCCGACACGGGGAGGUAGUGACAAUAAAUACUGAUACAGGGCUCUUUUGGGUCUUGUAAUUGGAAUGAGUACAAUUUAAAUCCCUUAACGAGGAACAAUUGGAGGGCAAGUCUGGUGCCAGCAGCCGCGGUAAUUCCAGCUCCAAUAGCGUAUAUUAAAGUUGUUGUGGUUAAAAAGCUCGUAGUUGAACCUUGGGCCUGGCCGUCCGGUCCGCCUCACCGCGUGUACUGGCUCGGCCGGGCCUUUCCCUCUGUGGAACCCCAUGCCCUUCACUGGGCGUGGCGGGGAAACAGGACUUUUACUGUGAAAAAAUUAGAGUGCUCCAGGCAGGCCUAUGCUCGAAUACAUUAGCAUGGAAUAAUAGAAUAGGACGUGUGGUUCUAUUUUGUUGGUUUCUAGGACCGCCGUAAUGAUUAAUAGGGACAGUCGGGGGCAUCAGUAUUCAAUUGUCAGAGGUGAAAUUCUUGGAUUUAUUGAAGACUAACUACUGCGAAAGCAUUUGCCAAGGAUGUUUUCAUUAAUCAGGAACGAAAGUUAGGGGAUCGAAGACGAUCAGAUACCGUCGUAGUCUUAACCAUAACUAUGCCGACUAGGGAUCGGACGGUGUUAUU